AUGGACUUCAUGUCCAUUCCGGUUCCUGCGCGCUGGCCUUCCCGCGCUGACGGCCGCUCGCCGAUCUUGCUGAUCGCU
RNAcentral lists this small RNA (78 nucleotides) under Jeongeupia sp. USM3. RNAcentral's name for it is "sX9 sRNA". It matches the Rfam family "Xanthomonas sRNA sX9". The record is from RNAcentral. Lineage: Bacteria; Pseudomonadati; Pseudomonadota; Betaproteobacteria; Neisseriales; Chitinibacteraceae.